RNAcentral lists this ribosomal RNA (851 nucleotides) under uncultured bacterium. RNAcentral's name for it is "bacterial SSU rRNA". It matches the Rfam family "Bacterial small subunit ribosomal RNA", at positions 58 to 916 of the family's 1533-position model. The record is from RNAcentral.
CAAGUCGAACGGGAUCCAUGUUGUAGCAAUACUUCGGAAGAUCUAGUGGCGAACGGGUGAGGAACACGUGAGAAACCUGCCCCGGACUUUGGGAUAACAGUUGGAAACGAUUGCUAAUACCGAAUGCCGUCGCGAAGUGGCAUCACUUUGCGACGAAAGAAUUUCGGUCCGGGAGGGUCUCGCGGCCUAUCAGCUAGUUGGUGGGGUAACGGCCUACCAAGGCAUCGACGGGUAGCUGGUCUGAGAGGAUGAUCAGCCACACUGGGACUGAGACACGGCCCAGACUCCUACGGGAGGCAGCAGUGGGGAAUCUUGUGCAAUGGGCGCAAGCCUGACACAGCAACGCCGCGUGCGGGAAGAAGGCCUUCGGGUCGUAAACCGCUUUCAGCAGGAACGAAAAUGACGGUACCUGCAGAAGAAGGUGCGGCCAACUACGUGCCAGCAGCCGCGGUGACACGUAGGCACCAAGCGUUGUCCGGAUUUAUUGGGCGUAAAGAGCUCGUAGGCGGUUCAGCAAGUCGGGUGUGAAAACUCUGGGCUCAACCCAGAGCCUGCACCCGAAACUGCUGUGACUAGAGUUCGGUAGGGGAGCGGGGAAUUCCUAGUGUAGCGGUGAAAUGCGCAGAUAUUAGGAGGAACACCGGUGGCGAAGGCGCCGCUCUGGGCCGAUACUGACGCUGAGGAGCGAAAGCGUGGGUAGCAAACAGGAUUAGAUACCCUGGUAGUCCACGCCGUAAACGUUGGGCACUAGGUGUGGGUCUCUAACCAACGAGAUCCGCGCCGUCGCUAACGCAUUAAGUGCCCCGCCUGGAGAGUACGGUCGCAAGACUAAAACUCAAAGGAAUUGACGG